This 374-nucleotide RNase P RNA is filed under the name Candidatus Rokuibacteriota bacterium. Its description in RNAcentral is "Candidatus Rokubacteria bacterium RNase P RNA component class A". It matches the Rfam family "Bacterial RNase P class A". From Rfam's summary of the family: Ribonuclease P (RNase P) is a ubiquitous endoribonuclease, found in archaea, bacteria and eukarya as well as chloroplasts and mitochondria. Its best characterised activity is the generation of mature 5'-ends of tRNAs by cleaving the 5'-leader elements of precursor-tRNAs. Cellular RNase Ps are ribonucleoproteins. Lineage: Bacteria; Candidatus Rokuibacteriota. The record is from RNAcentral.
AGAGAAGGCCAGACGGUCGCCGGUCGCGACAACGCGGCGGGAGGAAAGUCCGGGCUCCGGAGGGCAGGGUGCUGGCUAACGGCCAGGGCGGGUAACCGCACGGACCAGUGCCACAGAAAGCAGACCGCCGUUCAGCGAACGGUAAGGGUGAAACGGUGAGGUAAGAGCUCACCAGCGGCGCGGGUGACCGCGCCGGCUCGGCAAACCCCACCCGGAGCAAGGCCGAAUAGGAGAGCAAUCGGGUGGCCCGCCCGCGCUCUCGGGUUAGGCCGCUGGAGGCGCCGGGCAACCGGCGUCCUAGAGAAAUGAUCGUCGUCUCGAGCUCGGGAAACCGGCUCGGGGAACAGAACCCGGCUUACCGGCCUUCUCUGGCG